Molecule: small nuclear RNA, 310 nt
Filed under: Canis lupus dingo (dingo)
Lineage: Eukaryota; Metazoa; Chordata; Mammalia; Carnivora; Canidae
Description: 7SK RNA (ENSCAFG00020022464.1)
Rfam family: 7SK RNA
About the family: 7SK was discovered as an abundant small nuclear RNA in the mid-70s but a possible function has only recently been suggested. Two independent studies have found that 7SK RNA binds the CDK9/cyclin T complex (known as elongation factor P-TEFb).
Source: Rfam by way of RNAcentral
GAGUGUGAAGGUGAUCGGGCUGUGACAUCUGUCACCCCACCGAUUGCCAGGGUUGAUCUGACUGGCCAGGCGGGUGUCCCCCUCCUCCAUCCCCACUCCACAUGUGUCCCUCCCAGAGCUGCAUACUGCACCCAGGAUGGUGACUUUUCCCGAAAGAGGAGGAUGUUCUUUGGUCAGGAGCAUGGCGGUACCUGUGCUCUCCUGCUAGAACCCCUCCCACAAACCUUCAGGGUCCAUUUGUGGAAAGGAGGGUAGUCAAACUUCCAAUACAUCCAAAUGAGGUGCUGCUUGUGGCAGCCUGACUUUCUUU